GGAUCAAAGCCAUUCGUAACGUGGCUCAUAGUGAAAGAACAGAAGAGACUGUGCUAUGGCCAGUCUUGGAGAAGUUAUCUGUGAUGCUGCUGUUGAGAACAAUGAUGCUGAAGGAAAAAUCGACAACGAAGGACGCCAAGAGGAAAUGACCACCAGCACAAACCUAAACAACCUGAACCCCAAAGG
Trichomycterus rosablanca is the source of this 186-nucleotide long non-coding RNA. RefSeq lists it as uncharacterized. The record is from RefSeq and is a predicted model, not a curated record. NCBI's taxonomy places the organism in Eukaryota, Metazoa, Chordata, Actinopteri, Siluriformes, Trichomycteridae. The transcript has 3 exons.